This 429-nucleotide ribosomal RNA is filed under the name Chloroflexota bacterium. Its description in RNAcentral is "Chloroflexi bacterium partial 16S ribosomal RNA". It matches the Rfam family "Bacterial small subunit ribosomal RNA", at positions 355 to 776 of the family's 1533-position model. The record is from RNAcentral. Lineage: Bacteria; Bacillati; Chloroflexota.
UGGGGAAUAUUGCACAAUGGGCGCAAGCCUGAUGCAGCCAUGCCGCGUGUGUGAAGAAGGCCUUCGGGUUGUAAAGCACUUUCAGCGGGGAGGAAGGCGAUAAGGUUAAUAACCUUGUCGAUUGACGUUACCCGCAGAAGAAGCACCGGCUAACUCCGUGCCAGCAGCCGCGGUAAUACGGAGGGUGCAAGCGUUAAUCGGAAUUACUGGGCGUAAAGCGAACGCAGGCGGUUUGUUAAGUCAGAUGUGAAAUCCUCGGGCUCAACCUGGGAACUGCAUCUGAUACUGGCAAGCUUGAGUCUCGUAGAGGGGGGUAGAAUUCCAGGUGUAGCGGUGAAAUGCGUAGAGAUCUGGAGGAAUACCGGUGGCGAAGGCGGCCCCCUGGACGAAGACUGACGCUCAGGUGCGAAAGCGUGGGGAGCAAACAGG